UUGGAGGGCAAGUCUGGUGCCAGCAGCCGCGGUAAUUCCAGCUCCAAUAGCGUAUAUUAAAGUUGUUGCCGUUAAAAAGCUCGUAGUUGAACCUUGGACCUGGCUGAUCUGUCCUCCUAAUCGAGCGUACGGAUUCGGUCGGGUCUUUCCUUCUGGGGAACCCUAUGUCCUUUAUUGGGUGUAGUGGGGAACCAGGACUUUUACCUUGAAAAAAUUAGAGUGUUCAAAGCAGGCCUUUGCUCGAAUACAUUAGCAUGGAAUAAUAGAAUAGGACAUCGGUUCUAUUUUGUUGGUUUCUAGGACCGCUGUAAUGAUUAAUAGGGAUAGUCGGGGGCGUCCGUAUUCAAUUGUCAGAGGUGAAAUUCUUGGAUUUAUUGAAGACGAACUACUGCGAAAGCAUUCGCCAAGGAUGUUUUCAUUAAUCAGUGAACGAAAGUUAGGGGAUCGAAGACGAUCAGAUACCGUCGUAGUCUUAACCAUAAACUAUGCCGACUAGGGAUCGGACGGUGGUUUUUUUAUGCCCCGUUCGGCGCCUUACGGGGGAAAC
Molecule: ribosomal RNA, 547 nt
Filed under: uncultured Ascomycota
Lineage: Eukaryota; Fungi; Ascomycota
Description: SSU rRNA
Rfam family: Eukaryotic small subunit ribosomal RNA
Source: RNAcentral